UACGUAGGGGGCGAGCGUUGUCCGGAGUUACUGGGCGUAAAGCGUGCGUAGACGGCUAUCUAAGUCGGGUGUGAAAGCCCCGGGCUCAACCUGGGAAUUGCAUUCGAGACUGAAUAGCUAGGGUGCGGUAGAGGGAAGCGGAAUUUCCGGUGUAGCGGUGAAAUGCGUAGAUAUCGGAAGGAACAUCAGUGGCGAAAGCGGCUUCCUGGACCAGCACCGACGUUCAGGCACGAAAGCGUGGGGAGCAAACAGG
RNAcentral lists this ribosomal RNA (253 nucleotides) under uncultured bacterium. RNAcentral's name for it is "partial 16S ribosomal RNA". It matches the Rfam family "Bacterial small subunit ribosomal RNA", at positions 524 to 776 of the family's 1533-position model. The record is from RNAcentral.